GACGAACGCUGGCGGCGUGCUUAACACAUGCAAGUCGAGCGGAAAGGCCCUUCGGGGUACUCGAGCGGCGAACGGGUGAGUAACACGUGAGUAAUCUGCCCUUGGCUUUGGGAUAACUACUGGAAACGGUGGCUAAUACCGGAUACGACAACCGUCUGCAUGGGCUGGUUGUGGAAAGUUUUUUCGGCCAGGGAUGUGCUCGCGGCCUAUCAGCUUGUUGGUGGGGUAAUGGCCUACCAAGGCUUCGACGGGUAGCCGGCCUGAGAGGGUGACCGGCCACACUGGGACUGAGACACGGCCCAGACUCCUACGGGAGGCAGCAGUGGGGAAUAUUGGACAAUGGGCGGAAGCCUGAUCCAGCAACGCCGCGUGAGGGAUGACGGCCUUCGGGUUGUAAACCUCUUUCAGUACCGACGAAGCGCCGAUGAUGGUGGUGACGGUAGGUACAGAAGAAGCACCGGCCAACUACGUG
This 472-nucleotide ribosomal RNA is filed under the name uncultured bacterium. Its description in RNAcentral is "partial 16S ribosomal RNA". It matches the Rfam family "Bacterial small subunit ribosomal RNA", at positions 28 to 507 of the family's 1533-position model. The record is from RNAcentral.